UUAGACUCAUUCCAACUAUGUCACACUUAAGUAAUAAUUAGAUUUCAAAAUUCAAAUUCAAGAUUUGGAUCAAGUAGGUGGUAAUUAAUUUAAUUAGGAUUAUUUUUUUUAAAAGUACCACAUUCUGUUCAAGAUGAAUCAAAUUUGAUGGAAGUGGAUGAUAAAGGUUGGAGGUUCAAAUUUGAAAAUCUGUUAUGGGUUUAUGGUUGUUUCUUGGAACUUUUUUUUUUUGACCGAGUAUGCAGACGUAAGUUAGAGCUUUAGCAGUGUAUUUGAAUAUUUUCUUCAAUCUCACCAUGAUUAGAUUUGGUUAGUUUUAAUGCCUAUAAAUACCUUUCAUUAAAUCAUUUUUCUCAUCACAUAAAUUUUCUAAACACUUUCCACUAGCUCCCAAAAUUACCGAAGCUCACACACUCUCUAUUCUUAAAUAAUUAUGUUUUCUUUCUAGGACUUUCUCUAUCCUGGCUAUUAUAAUCUCCAUACAACUAUUAUCCACACUACCUCACACAAAUAUACACACUACUAUUAUUUACUCAAUCAUCCACAAGCCACGGCUCAACCUACAAAUUACCAUCAUCUUAUUUUCUAUUUCAAGAUCAUCUCAUGUUAUAGGUGUGUCUUACACUAGGCCUGGGCUUAAGAAUUCUUCAUAGUCACGAAUAGGAUUCUCCUUUGAAGCUACGGUACUUCAUAAGAAAAUUAUUAUUUCUCAAGGAUCACUCUCAUUGAAAUCAAGGCUAGGACUCCACAUUCGAGAAAUUCUUAGAAACAAACAAGGAACAUUAGGAAAUAAUGUCUCCAAGAAGAUCAGUUCGAAUCAACGGCAAUAGAAACAUCCACGUGGAUGCAGCUCCAGCACCCGCAAGGGGCGGAGGCCGAGGUGAUGGUCGACGCGGAGGCCGACGUGGAGGCCAAAGCGGUAGGGGAGGUAGACAAGGAGCAUCGGUAGCACCGGUAGAUGAAGUAGCACUCGAACAACAACAACCUCCCAAUGCUCAAGCUUAGAUACUCCGAGAAAACGCUCGUAUACGUGAGGAGCUAACUCAAGAAAUUUCAAGGCUACGAGCUCAGAAUGAGGAGUUACGGCGGAAUCAAAAUCCACCCGUUAGAAACCUAGCUCUUCAACCAGCUGCAAUGAAUCCAGAACCAAUACAACGUUUUGAAUCUGUGUACGAGCGAUUCAGGAAACAACAACCACCAAUAUUCAAUGGGAGCUCGGACUCACUUGAA
This is a long non-coding RNA of Cannabis sativa, 1230 nucleotides long. RefSeq lists it as uncharacterized. The record is from RefSeq and is a predicted model, not a curated record. The transcript has 3 exons. Lineage: Eukaryota; Viridiplantae; Streptophyta; Magnoliopsida; Rosales; Cannabaceae.